GUCUAUGGCCAUACCACCCUGAAUGCGCGUGAUCUCAUUUGAUCUUGGAAGCUAAGCAGGGUCGGGCCUGGUUAGUACUUGGAUGGGAGAAAUGUACCUACUCCCUGUCUUGUCUUCAACC
Molecule: ribosomal RNA, 121 nt
Filed under: Propithecus coquereli (Coquerel's sifaka)
Lineage: Eukaryota; Metazoa; Chordata; Mammalia; Primates; Indriidae
Source: RNAcentral